UAAGGCAAGUGGAUGAUCGCUGGUUUUAAUGUGCAAACAUUUGAAAAUCAGAGGAAAGUCCGGACUCUACGAGGGAAAAAUACCAGCUAACGGCUGGCCACGCAGCCUGAAUAAACUAGGGCGGCUGAGGGAAAGUGUCACAGAAAAUAUACCGCUAGAUUAUGCCGCCCAUGAUCCCCUUAUUUAAGGGGAUCGAGUCGACGCGUUAGCGCGACGAUGGGGUUGCAUAACUAGUAAGGGUGAAAACGCGAGGUAAGAGCUCACGCGCUUCUAUGGCAACAUAGAUUUGGAAAAACCCUAUUUAGAGCAAGACCAAAUAGGAACGGCAAAUUCUUCAAUGAAUAAAUGACCUCGCAUUGUCGUUCGGGUAGGUUGCUUGAGGUUAACAGCGAUGUUAAUCCUAGAUGAAUGAUCGUCGCCCGCUUUUGCUAAGGCUGAAGCGUGGUACAAAAUCCGGCUUAUAGCUUGUCUUACAUU
This 477-nucleotide RNase P RNA is filed under the name Pseudomonadota bacterium. RNAcentral's name for it is "Proteobacteria bacterium (freshwater metagenome) RNase P RNA component class A". It matches the Rfam family "Bacterial RNase P class A". Rfam says of the family: Ribonuclease P (RNase P) is a ubiquitous endoribonuclease, found in archaea, bacteria and eukarya as well as chloroplasts and mitochondria. Lineage: Bacteria; Pseudomonadati; Pseudomonadota. The record is from RNAcentral.